AUGAUGGAGUCCUGCUUUCCUGGGGAUGGCUGAACUGCUGCCUGCCCAUGAGAAGUGGUGAAGGAAUUCCUUGUUUGGCUUUCAGGAACCACAGCUGCUUGUGGCCAGACCUGCCUGGGCCAUAGCUGAGCUCCUGGACUUCCAAUUGUCCCUCUGCAGUUUGUCACCUUCUACCAGGAGUUGGGGCUGACCAUGGCUGAUUCCUUUGUGUCCCUCACUAACUGAGGGACAGCCACUCACAUUUGUGGAAAGGACUAUUGGGGUUUUACCCCAGCUGGAAGCAAAGCCCACACAGCCACUGGCUCAUUGCUGGUGGGAGGAGAGAGCUGGAAGAGUAAAAGCAAGAUAACUUAUGGGCUGGGAUAAAGAGUUUAACAGGACCUGCAUUGCCAUUUCCAUCAUGGUUCCCUGGCACUCCUGAGGAAGUGUGCUCUCUUGAGAAAUGAGAAUAUUACUUGGCACUGUCAUCAGACCUGAUUGAGCUGGGCCACUCUGAGAGGCCAAAUUCAUAUGAACAGAUCAGUGAAGGUGUUGAUUCUUGGUGGGCUGCUGAGGGUCUGCUCUAACAGUAGGAUCGACUGUCAAGUGCCACCAGGUGACCCUGAAAUGAAGAAAUGAAGCUGUACUGUCUUCAACUUAAUAGAAAAUAUUCCCACACACACACCCCAGUGAAUAAAUGCUUAUGGAAAAAUUCUUCCCUGAAAUAUGAUAAAGAUCAAAAACACUACAGGAAUCUUUUUCCUCCUGGGUUUUAAUACCCAGCCCAACAGCCUCAUGGAAGAAAGCUCUACUCAAAUAACUUCAGAUUUGUAUGCAUGCUUGCUUUUACUAGAGCUUUUAACAUGCAUGAUGGAGCAAUCAGACUUGAAACUCAAUAGAAACAUCUGAUGCCUCACUGCUGUACCUUGGGCAAAGAGAGAGAAUUUCCAUGUUUGGAAUUCUCCUCUUCUAAUAAAUGAAAGCACUAAAAUUGAAGGACUGCAGGUUCAAAAGAAAAUGUGGAAAUGAAUUAUCAAUCAGGAAUCUGAGGGCAUUAGAUAAAGGCAAUAACAAUCUCACAGAAGCCAGGG
This is a long non-coding RNA of Zonotrichia leucophrys gambelii, 1070 nucleotides long. RefSeq lists it as uncharacterized. The transcript is spliced from 4 exons. Lineage: Eukaryota; Metazoa; Chordata; Aves; Passeriformes; Passerellidae. The record is from RefSeq and is a predicted model, not a curated record.